RNAcentral lists this ribosomal RNA (253 nucleotides) under uncultured bacterium. RNAcentral's name for it is "partial 16S ribosomal RNA". It matches the Rfam family "Bacterial small subunit ribosomal RNA", at positions 524 to 776 of the family's 1533-position model. The record is from RNAcentral.
UACGAAGGGGGCAAGCGUUACUCGGAAUUACUGGGCGUAAAGGGUGCGUAGGUGGUCGUUUAAGUCCGUUGUGAAAUCCCUGGGCUCAACCUGGGAAUGGCAGUGGAUACUGGACGGCUAGAAUGCGGUAGAGGGUAGUGGAAUUCCCGGUGUAGCAGUGAAAUGCGUAGAGAUCGGGAGGAGCAUCCGUGGCGAAGGCGACUACCUGGACCGGCACCGACACUGAGGCACGAAAGCGUGGGGAGCAAACAGG